CGGGUGAGUAACGCGUGGGUAACCUGCCGUCAUACAGGGGGAUAACGAGUUAGAAAUGACUGCUAAUACCGCAUAAGCGCACGGUCUCGCAUGGGACAGUGUGAAAAACUCCGGUGGUAAUGAGAUGGACCCGCGUCUGAUUAGCUGGUUGGUGAGGUAAGGGGCUCACCAAGGCGACGAUCAGUAGCCGGCCUGAGAGGGUGAACGGCCACAUUGGGACUGAGACACGGCCCAAACUCCUACGGGAGGCAGCAG
Molecule: ribosomal RNA, 255 nt
Filed under: uncultured bacterium
Lineage: Bacteria
Description: partial 16S ribosomal RNA
Rfam family: Bacterial small subunit ribosomal RNA
Source: RNAcentral